UUCCCAAAACUAGCUUACUGCGCA
Molecule: non-coding RNA, 24 nt
Filed under: Arabidopsis thaliana (thale cress)
Lineage: Eukaryota; Viridiplantae; Streptophyta; Magnoliopsida; Brassicales; Brassicaceae
Source: RNAcentral